Molecule: non-coding RNA, 709 nt
Filed under: Rhinebothrium flexile
Lineage: Eukaryota; Metazoa; Platyhelminthes; Cestoda; Rhinebothriidea; Rhinebothriidae
Source: RNAcentral
AUUUGUUUAACUAUGGCAAUAGGAAGUUUUAUGAUGGCUUAGUUGCAUAAAGUUUUUUUAUUCUUUUAUCUCAAGUUAUCUUUUUUAUUGAUUAGCAGCUAGUAUUUUAGUAAAAUUUUCGUUUUUUAAGAUGUCAUCAUAUAAAAGGGGAUAGGACACAGUGCCAGCAUCCGCGGUUAUUCUGUUUUCUUUGCUUUCUUUUGGAUUAUGUUUAGAUGUAUAGUUUUAAGGUUUGGUGAAAUUUUCUUAAGUUAAGGCAUAGCAUCUAUGUGUAUAUAAGGUAGUUUAAACGACAGGGAUUAGAUACCCCAGUAGUUACUAUUUUACAGUUUUCUAGUUACAUAACUAAAAUAGUUUGGCAGCGAGUUAUUCCUAUCGGGGGAAGGUGUGGCAUAAAGGACGAUCCGCCCAAUAAGCAACCUGUGUUAUGUUGGUGUAUAUCUGGUUGAAGAUUAUUGCUUUAUAGCUGAAUUUGUGUAGACAUUAUUAAGCCAAGUCUAUGUGCUGCAUGCACAGGGGACCAUGCGUUACUAUUAUAAGUAGCUUUUUGUAACAUCUGCUUUUUUAGGACUCGAGAGUAAUAUAAAAUUAUUUUGUUUAUGUGAAAGGGGUUUAACUUGGGUACACACCGCCCGUCACCCUCGACAGUUGUUGAGGUAAGUCGUAACAUGGUAACCCCAAAUGAAUUUGGGGUUAAUUGUAGGUCAGC